Molecule: long non-coding RNA, 509 nt
Organism: Papaver somniferum (opium poppy)
Lineage: Eukaryota; Viridiplantae; Streptophyta; Magnoliopsida; Ranunculales; Papaveraceae
Exons: 3
Source: RefSeq, a predicted model, not a curated record
UACAGUUAUCUGCGAAAAUAGGGAAGAUGAUCUAUUACUAGCUUCCUUAAAUCGAGUUUGCUAGCCAGGUUAUGGCGAGUCUAAUCUGGUGGAGGAGAUAUUAACACGAUGUUGUUUAUGAAUCUAUUUUAGCUACUUCAAUUGAUCUCUGUACCCAAAUUUAUCUCCGAAUGCCAAGUGAUUCUGGAAAGUGAUGGAAGGUGCUCACUGGUGAUUCCAAAUCUCCUGUUUCUGGAAAGGAUUCUAGCCAUCGAGAAGAACGGGAACAUUAGAGUCCUGCUGCCGUCUAAAGAACAACGAAGAAGAUGAAGAAGCUUGGAAGAAGCCACUUGGUGCAACACUCAAGCAUUUGGGUCUAUUUGCUAGUGCAUCUGCCAGGAAUUACUGUCGACAAUGUUACCAUCAGGUUAACAUCAGGUAGAAAGAGUAAAGAAGUUUACCAUCUUUGUCAGCCAAUAAGAUAUGCAACAUUCUCAAGCAAACUCUUGUAUUGAUCUCAAAGGCCAGAA